GCCACUAUAGCUCAGAUGGUAGAGCUACACAUUGCUGGUGUGUGGGUCGCGGGUCCAAUUCCUGCUAGCGGCACCA
RNAcentral lists this transfer RNA (76 nucleotides) under Rickettsiales bacterium. RNAcentral describes it as "tRNA-Ser". It matches the Rfam family "tRNA". From Rfam's summary of the family: Transfer RNA (tRNA) molecules are approximately 80 nucleotides in length. Their secondary structure includes four short double-helical elements and three loops (D, anti-codon, and T loops). The record is from RNAcentral. Lineage: Bacteria; Pseudomonadati; Pseudomonadota; Alphaproteobacteria; Rickettsiales.